GCCUCGGUGGUGUAGUGGUCAAGACGCUUGCCUGGUAAUCGAGAGGGCGCGGGUUCAAUUCCAGCCGAGGCA
RNAcentral lists this transfer RNA (72 nucleotides) under Diaphorina citri (Asian citrus psyllid). It matches the Rfam family "tRNA". Rfam says of the family: Transfer RNA (tRNA) molecules are approximately 80 nucleotides in length. Their secondary structure includes four short double-helical elements and three loops (D, anti-codon, and T loops). Further hydrogen bonds mediate the characteristic L-shaped molecular structure. tRNAs have two regions of fundamental functional importance: the anti-codon, which is responsible for specific mRNA codon recognition, and the 3' end, to which the tRNAs corresponding amino acid is attached (by aminoacyl-tRNA synthetases). tRNAs cope with the degeneracy of the genetic code in two manners: having more than one tRNA (with a specific anti-codon) for a particular amino acid; and 'wobble' base-pairing, i.e. permitting non-standard base-pairing at the 3rd anti-codon position. The record is from Rfam by way of RNAcentral. Lineage: Eukaryota; Metazoa; Arthropoda; Insecta; Hemiptera; Psyllidae.